GUGCUCACUUUGGCAGCACAUAUACUAAAAUUGGAACAAUACAGAGAAGAUUAGCGUGGCCCUUGUGUAAGGAUGACAUGCAAAUUCAUAAAACAUUCCAUGAAACA
Molecule: small nuclear RNA, 107 nt
Filed under: Castor canadensis (American beaver)
Lineage: Eukaryota; Metazoa; Chordata; Mammalia; Rodentia; Castoridae
Source: RNAcentral